RNAcentral lists this ribosomal RNA (392 nucleotides) under Allobates aff. trilineatus 1 AR-2020. RNAcentral describes it as "partial large subunit ribosomal RNA". It matches the Rfam family "Bacterial large subunit ribosomal RNA", at positions 1997 to 2540 of the family's 2925-position model. Lineage: Eukaryota; Metazoa; Chordata; Amphibia; Anura; Aromobatidae. The record is from RNAcentral.
CGGCUUCACGAAUGCUAUACUGUCUCCUUUAUCCAAUCAGUUAAACUAAUCUCCCCGUGAAGAAGCGGGGAUUCACUUAUAAGACGAGAAGACCCUAUGGAGCUUUAAACACUCUUAAACAUUUGAGCCCUCUUAUUCACCUCCAGAAAACUUCACUAAACCCCUCAUUUUGUUUAAACUUUUAGGUUGGGGUGACCACGGAGAAUAACCUAACCUCCACGUGGAAAGAAGCUUAAUUCUAAGCAAAAAGCCACAUCUUUAUGCAUCAAUAAUAUUGACCUAAAUUGACCCAAUUAUUUGAUCAACGAACCAAGUUACCCUAGGGAUAACAGCGCAAUCCGCUUUAAGAGCUCCUAUCGACAAGCGGGCUUACGACCUCGAUGUUGGAUCAG